This is a long non-coding RNA of Lutra lutra (Eurasian river otter), 2015 nucleotides long. RefSeq lists it as uncharacterized. The transcript is spliced from 2 exons. The record is from RefSeq and is a predicted model, not a curated record. Lineage: Eukaryota; Metazoa; Chordata; Mammalia; Carnivora; Mustelidae.
AGGCUCCCUGCUGAGCAGAAAGCCCGAUGUGGGGCUUGAACCCAGGACCUGGGAUCAUGACCUGAGCUGAAGGCAGCGGCUUAACCCACUGAGCCACCCAGGCGCCCCCAGUUGCCCCCAUUUUUAUAAUGAUGUAACAGUAAUGUACCUUGUGCUACCUUAAAAUUACUUGUUUUGAAUUCUUUUCCUUAGGACCAUAUCUCUAUGUUGAAUUCUACAGAUAAUACGUUAGCCUAAAAUUUCCUGUAGUACUUUUUAAGUAAUAUGAUUCAGAUGAUAUUAGAAAAAAAGAUUCUGGGGUCGCCUGGGUGGCUCAGUCAUUGAGCGUCUGCCUUCUGCUUGGGUCAUGAUCCUAGAGUCCUGGGAUCGAGGCCCGCAAUGGGCUCCCUGCUCUGCGGGAGGCCUGAUUCUCCCUCUCCCAUUCCUCCUGCCUGUGUUCCCUCUCUGUGUCUCUGUCAAAUAAAUAAAUCUUUAAAAAAAAAAAAAAAGAUUCUGUGGUUAAACCAGCUUAUAAAUGGUGGCAUAUUUCAAUGACUUUUUGAAGCAAUAAGUUCAUUUUAUUUUAUCAGGGCUAUAAUAAAUAUUUUAGUAAAGGAAUUUCUCGAAACUUUAACCCCUCAUAUGCCAGACUUACUUGACCAUGAAUCCCUUCUUAUAAUGCCUAUUAAUAUCUUUUGCAUGUGAACUAUUUUUGUAAAUGCUGCUCUAGCUACAAAAAAUAACCACAGAGGUGGAAACUCUAGACAUUAUAGCUGGAGGCCAACUGAGUUUAUGAAAGGGCAAGUUGCUUUCUCUAAACCAAUCCCAUUCUUUUUCUACAGAUAGGACCUUGUCCUCUUAAAAAAGGGACUUGUCCUCUUAAAAAAGGGAAAUUCCUCUGUGUAACAAUCUUCCUUCACAGUCUCUUCUUACUCUUCCCUCUACCCCAAUUCUUAGUUCAACUUAAUGAGAUAUUAAAAACAAACACAAAAACAAAACAGGUUUGUGAAAUCUUAAAGGCCUGGUAAUGAAAUAAAUGUCUUUAUCAUUGAUAUAGUUACGCCAUAAAUAAAGUUCUAGAAUUGGAGAUUCUUUUCUAAGAUGAAUUUUAUAACAAAUACAAGAAUAAAGAUUGUCAAGUGGGCCAUUAUGUCAUUACUUUGUCUCUACUUCUAAUAGUGUUUUACUUAUUCUCAAAAGAAAAGUUAGAAAUUAAGUGUAUUUUUAUGUAGCUUUUUUUUCAUAUUUGAAUUACCCUUCUGAAAUUACAUAAUGCAUUUCCUGCAAAACAGGAAAUUAUAGCAAAUAUACAUAUAAUCUAACUUCCUGGGGCACCUCGGUGGCGCAGUUAAGCCUCUGCCUUAGGUUCAGGUCAUGAUCCCAGUGUCCUGGGAUCAAGCCCCAUGUCCCUUCGGGCUCCCUUCUCACUGUGGAAUCUGCUUAUCUCUUUCCUUCUGUCCCUUGCUUGUGUUCUCUCUCAAAUAAAUAAAAUCUUUAAAAAAAAGAAAAUCUGACUUCCUAAACUAAACCUAAUGAGUACUUUUGUAGCUUUUUGUUUAAAUGUACAUUUUUAUGUUUGUAUAUUUGUAUGUUUAUACAUGGGUUUUUUUCUUGGUUGUGAAUAUUUAUAUAUUUAAACAGGGUCACUGUAUGGACAUCAGUCUGCAACUUUCCUGCAACAUACAUAAUGGACAUCUUUCCAGCUGUUCAACUUUGAAAGAUACACAGAGGUUGGAUCAAGUUUAAAUGACUGUGCUGCCCCUUUUCACAUCAAAGAACUACUGACAAUGAAGGUGCCUGCCUCUCCCAUCUGCCAGUCCAGUCCAGCUGUCAGGGAGGAAAAAUAACUUGCAUGUUAAUGUAGGAAGAAGCUGGGUGGGAUGACAGUGAAAUCUAGAGUUAAAACAAAGCCGGUCCAUGGUGUCCUGUAAGCUGUAAAAUCCAAUUUAAUCAGAGUGCCAAUUUUUUUUUGUUCAAAUGAUUUUAAUUAUUGGAAUGCACAAUUUUUUAAAUAUGCAAUAAAAUUUUUAAAACCU